RNAcentral lists this ribosomal RNA (425 nucleotides) under uncultured bacterium. RNAcentral describes it as "bacterial SSU rRNA". It matches the Rfam family "Bacterial small subunit ribosomal RNA", at positions 356 to 773 of the family's 1533-position model. The record is from RNAcentral.
GGGGAAUUUUGGACAAUGGGCGCAAGCCUGAUCCAGCCAUGCCGCGUGUAUGAAGAAGGCCUUCGGGUUGUAAAGUACUUUUGUCAGGGAAGAAAAGCUUUAGGUUAAUACCCUAGAGUGAUGACGGUACCUGAAGAAUAAGCACCGGCUAACUACGUGCCAGCAGCCGCGGUAAUACGUAGGGUGCGAGCGUUAAUCGGAAUUACUGGGCGUAAAGCGAGCGCAGACGGUUAUUUAAGCAGGAUGUGAAAUCCCCGAGCUCAACUUGGGAACUGCGUACUGAACUGGGUAACUAGAGUGUGUCAGAGGGGGGUAGAAUUCCACGUGUAGCAGUGAAAUGCGUAGAGAUGUGGAGGAAUACCGAUGGCGAAGGCAGCCCCCUGGGAUAACACUGACGUUCAUGCUCGAAAGCGUGGGUAGCAAAC